Rattus norvegicus (Norway rat) is the source of this 107-nucleotide small nuclear RNA. Lineage: Eukaryota; Metazoa; Chordata; Mammalia; Rodentia; Muridae. The record is from Ensembl.
GUGCUUGUUUUGCAUGUUCAUAUACAAAAAUUGGAACAAUACAGAAAAGGUUAUCAUGGACCCUGCACAAGUAUGACACUUGGAAUUAUAGAGCAUUCCAUAUGUUU